GGGUCAGUAGGUUGGUCGUGCCACCGGUACGUACUGGUCCCACUGAUUCCUCCUUCCUGAAGAACCGUAAUGCCAUUAAUUUGGUGUUGCGGGGAAACAGGAUUGUUACUUUGAAAAAAUUAGAGUGUUUAAAGCAAGCUAACGCUUGAAUACAUUAGCAUGGAAUAAUGAAAUAGGACGAUCGAUCCUAUUUUGUUGGUUUCUAGGAUUGACGUA
Molecule: ribosomal RNA, 216 nt
Filed under: Glomeromycotina sp.
Lineage: Eukaryota; Fungi; Glomeromycota
Description: partial small subunit ribosomal RNA
Rfam family: Eukaryotic small subunit ribosomal RNA (bases 44-216)
Source: RNAcentral